GACGAACGCUGGCGGCGUGCUUAACACAUGCAAGUCGAACGGAAAGGCCCUGCUUUUGUGGGGUGCUCGAGUGGCGAACGGGUGAGUAACACGUGAGUAACCUGCCCUUGACUUUGGGAUAACUUCAGGAAACUGGGGCUAAUACCGGAUAGGAGCUCCUGCUGCAUGGUGGGGGUUGGAAAGUUUCGGCGGUUGGGGAUGGACUCGCGGCUUAUCAGCUUGUUGGUGGGGUAGUGGCUUACCAAGGCUUUGACGGGUAGCCGGCCUGAGAGGGUGACCGGCCACAUUGGGACUGCGAUACGGCGCAGAGUCCUACGGGAGGCAGCAGUGGGGAAUAUUGCACAAUGGGCGGAAGCCUGAUGCAGCAACGCCGCGUGCGGGAUGCCGGCCUUCGGGUUGUAAACCGCUUUCGCCUGUGACGCAGCGUGAGUGACGGUAAUGGGUAAAGAAGCACCGGCUAACUACGUG
This 468-nucleotide ribosomal RNA is filed under the name uncultured bacterium. RNAcentral describes it as "partial 16S ribosomal RNA". It matches the Rfam family "Bacterial small subunit ribosomal RNA", at positions 28 to 507 of the family's 1533-position model. The record is from RNAcentral.